UACGUAGGGGGCUAGCGUUGUCCGGAAUCAUUGGGCGUAAAGGGUGCGUAGGCGGCGCGGUAAGUCGGGUGUGAAAUCUCGGAGCUUAACUCCGAAACUGCAUUCGAUACUGCCGUGCUUGAGGACUGGAGAGGAGACUGGAAUUUACGGUGUAGCGGUGAAAUGCGUAGAUAUCGUAAGGAAGACCAGUGGCGAAGGCGGGUCUCUGGACAGUUCCUGACGCUGAGGCACGAAGGUCAGGGGAGCAAACGGG
RNAcentral lists this ribosomal RNA (253 nucleotides) under uncultured bacterium. Its description in RNAcentral is "partial 16S ribosomal RNA". It matches the Rfam family "Bacterial small subunit ribosomal RNA", at positions 524 to 776 of the family's 1533-position model. The record is from RNAcentral.